GACUCUGUCUGUGUAUCUCAGC
RNAcentral lists this unclassified non-coding RNA (22 nucleotides) under Mus musculus (house mouse). Its description in RNAcentral is "oocyte_clustered_small_RNA11603". The record is from RNAcentral. Lineage: Eukaryota; Metazoa; Chordata; Mammalia; Rodentia; Muridae.